UAAUAUAUUUUCUCCUCCUUUCAUCGAGAAACACCCCCUAACCAUGAUUUAAAUAGAUUUCCAUCAAGGACUGAUAAAAACUAAUUUGACUAAGAGGAAGAGCCAUUGGAGAAGGCGGACUAGGCGGGAGAGCACGGUGGUGCCGUCGUGCUGGAACCCCAAGCUGACCUCCCGGUGAGAUUUUUGCCUUUUUUGCCGUUUCUUGCUUAUUUUUAUGCCAUUUUUAUGUACAUUCAAUCUUAUCAGGAAAACUCAAGAAAUCUGAGAUCCAAAACCGUCGAGAAUCAUAGUGAAAAUAAGGCGGUGUUCUGGAUACCGACCCAGUGUAGGUAUGCAUGUUAUUUGGAGUUAAAUAGCAAAUAAAAGAAAUAGUAUGCAUGAACUAAUGUGAUUAAAUGAAAAGCACUUACCGGGUAUCCUGAGAAAGAGUGCACGGACUUGGUGCAUAAGGUG
Molecule: long non-coding RNA, 453 nt
Filed under: Carica papaya (papaya)
Lineage: Eukaryota; Viridiplantae; Streptophyta; Magnoliopsida; Brassicales; Caricaceae
Description: long non-coding RNA (CPAP_LNC004483)
Source: RNAcentral